UACGUAGGGGGCAAGCGUUGUCCGGAUUUAUUGGGCGUAAAGAGCGUGUAGGCGGCUAGGUAGGUCCGUUGUGAAAACUCGAGGCUCAACCUCGAGACGCCGGUGGAAACCAUCUAGCUAGAGUCCGGAAGAGGAGAGUGGAAUUCCUGGUGUAGCGGUGAAAUGCGCAGAUAUCAGGAAGAACACCCGUGGCGAAGGCGGCUUUCUGGGACGGUACUGACGCUGAGACGCGAAAGCUAGGGGAGCAAACGGG
Molecule: ribosomal RNA, 253 nt
Filed under: uncultured bacterium
Lineage: Bacteria
Description: partial 16S ribosomal RNA
Rfam family: Bacterial small subunit ribosomal RNA
Source: RNAcentral